GCGCUUUUAGCUCAGUUGGAUAGAGCAACGGCCUUCUAAGCCGUGGGUCACAGGUUCGAAUCCUGUAAAGCGCA
This 74-nucleotide transfer RNA is filed under the name Buchnera aphidicola (Periphyllus koelreuteriae). RNAcentral describes it as "tRNA-Arg". It matches the Rfam family "tRNA". From Rfam's summary of the family: Transfer RNA (tRNA) molecules are approximately 80 nucleotides in length. Their secondary structure includes four short double-helical elements and three loops (D, anti-codon, and T loops). Further hydrogen bonds mediate the characteristic L-shaped molecular structure. tRNAs have two regions of fundamental functional importance: the anti-codon, which is responsible for specific mRNA codon recognition, and the 3' end, to which the tRNAs corresponding amino acid is attached (by aminoacyl-tRNA synthetases). tRNAs cope with the degeneracy of the genetic code in two manners: having more than one tRNA (with a specific anti-codon) for a particular amino acid; and 'wobble' base-pairing, i.e. permitting non-standard base-pairing at the 3rd anti-codon position. Lineage: Bacteria; Pseudomonadati; Pseudomonadota; Gammaproteobacteria; Enterobacterales; Erwiniaceae. The record is from RNAcentral. RNAcentral also lists the same sequence under 7 other names.